CUUCGAAACAAGAUGUAUAUAAAGAGAGAGAAUCCUCGAAAAUAACACAAACAGGAAAACGCAUCUGUGAAAGAAACCGACAUACCAGGUACUAUUUCUCAAUAAAUAAUCAUUUUCUUUUUGUCAAUAAUUAUUAUGUUCGAUUUAUUGUAUCAAUUCUCAGAACUUUUUCUUUAUGGCUAGCCGAGUUUUUUCUUUGCUUUCUAGGAUUCGUUGCAAUCCUAGAAAGAAUGUUAUAAUCGGAAUACAAAGGCCAAUAUUCUGGUUUUCAGUUCGAUUGCGGACCUUAUUUCAUUGAUUUUAUAUGUAUAAAAUUUGUAAAUUCGGAAAAUAUGUAAAGGUUAAUGUAAGCUAGAUUUUUUUUCAGAAUAUAAGGAAAUGUAUAAAUUGGUUAGGAUUGUUGUUAUAAUUUAAAUUAUCUUUUUUUCCGUUUUGCGGAUUCAGCUUGCAUUAUAUUUGUUAUAAUUAUCAGAAUAACAUAUGUGUUUUCCAAAACUGUGUAGAAGUUUUAGAUAUUUACAAAAUGUAAUGGAGGAAACAUGCUGUAAGAAAAUUUCGUUUUGGCUCUCCAAAGAAAAUUUUGUGAAAAAGAUGGAACGAAGAGCAGUGUUUCAAUCCAUUUAGUUCUUUGUUUCUUCCUUGGGUUAUAGGGUCAAAACUUUAGCUUUUGUCUUCUCCUGUAUUAUUUUCUUGAAUAAAUUUCUGGGAUGUGGUGAAUAGUGAAUUUCUUUGAUUUAUAAGGAUUUAUAUUAUGGGAAGUAUCUCCAUUUGUUUUUGGCUAAAGUAUGGUGUUGAAGAAUUUCUUUCCAGAAAAAAGAAAGAAAAAAAAUGCAAUAGGAAGAAGAAAAAUAAUGUAUUUUGGUCCUUGUUUUAUUAUUUCCAGUUAGUUUUGGUUGUUUGUAAUGUCUGAGUUUGCAGACAGGUGAAAUUAUGAGGGGAAGAAGCUGCAGCUACAGUCCUAGUCCACACAGAGGUUACAGCAAGAGACGUCGUAGCCCUAGCCCGAGGGGUCGCUAUGGUAGUCUGAGUGAUCCCCCUACUAGUCUCUUGGUUCGCAACCUUCGCCGUGAUUGCAGGUUAGUUCAGAUGGCAUCCUCUGUCUCAUAAGUUGGAAACAUUGAUACUUUCAUAUGUUAUCUAAUCUCUAAAUGAGAACAUUCCUUUUUUCAUUUAUGGGUUUGGGGGUGGCGGUUGGGGAAGAGCUAGGGAGAGAAGAGAAAAAGUAAGUGCAGCUACUAGCAGAUAGGAAGAAAUUAAGAAAAUAUGAUUAAUUGAGAGAAUGAGCUCCUUAUGGUCUUAUUAGGGAUUAAUAUAUGUUAGCAGAAAAUGUGAAGAACUUUCAGUGUCAAAGGACUCAUAUAUGUCACGCAAACUACCUUGGGAAUUGGAACUGAGGAGUAGUCGGUCUCUGGAACAUAUACUGCUGUCAAGUAGAAAAAUGGUAUGUUUCAAUAUCAUGAUGGAAAUGCUCCUUAUUAUAUGGACUAAUUUUAGUGUACGUGCGUUGCACGUGUUUAUAGUCUCAAUAAUAUAAAUUUAUGAAUAAACUAUAUUUUUAUCAUAUAAAUAAAUUCUUGAAAUCAUAUGCUACGAUAUUAUUACAGGAAAGAAUAUGGCUAGCAGAUAGCUAUUAAUUGUUAAUAUUGUGUUUAAAUAAAAUUAAAGUAGUAUUUGAGGUAAAAACAUAGAUCAAGUGAAGAUUAUAAACUAAAUAUUAAAUGUUGUGCCACCAUAGGUUGCUCCUUAUUUAAAACAAAAUCGCACUUGGACAAGAAUAAUUGAAACUUAUUACUAAUAAGAGAAUGUUAUUCCCUCCCCAGACUCCACUUUGUGGGACUAUACUGGGUAGUUAUUGUUGUUGUUAUUCCAUUAGUUAUGGGUCUUCAUUGUUAUGAUUGUUCGCUUCUAUCUAUUCAUGUUUAAUUUCCAUUUUAUUAACUUUACAACUUCGUUUAACUCCUCUGCAAUUAAAACACUUUUCAAUCUAGUGGUCUCCAUUUAUGUAUUAAGUGAAAAAAGAAAUGUGAGUUCUUUAUUCACACUAAGUAUCAAUUGACGAUAAACAGCACAUUCUUCUUUCUAAAUUAAUAAAUAACUUAUUAGCUAAAAGUAAGAAGUAUAUAUUUACUCUAUUGUAAAAAUUUAAUAACGAUGACAUAACUAUUGAGAUUAAUAAUUAUGCACAUUGUAUUGUCGCAACCAAUUGCAUCUAAUAGCUUUGAAAAUACUAUUCUUAUGUUCUUAAUCUUUAUCAUUAGUCAAUUUUAUUUUAAUUUUUAUAUGUAUUUCUGCAUCUUAUCAUAAUGAUUAAACUAAUGAAUAAUAUAUAUUUUUAAACUUUUUAACUUUGUUUUGUGCGAAAAAAGUUAUUUAGAAAGACAUAAGCAGCGAGAGUGAGAGAAUUUUGCAACUUAUUACUUUUCAGAUUUCACUUCUUGAAUAUACUGAAUUGAGAUGAGCUUGACCUAUUGCAAAGAUUCACGGGUUAAAAGUUCAAGCAUUAAGGUUCGGAUUAAUAUCCUCCAUGCCCUUUA
RNAcentral lists this long non-coding RNA (2534 nucleotides) under Nicotiana benthamiana. Its description in RNAcentral is "long non-coding RNA (NBEN_LNC029304)". Lineage: Eukaryota; Viridiplantae; Streptophyta; Magnoliopsida; Solanales; Solanaceae. The record is from RNAcentral.